RNAcentral lists this ribosomal RNA (117 nucleotides) under Sinocyclocheilus anshuiensis. Lineage: Eukaryota; Metazoa; Chordata; Actinopteri; Cypriniformes; Cyprinidae. The record is from RNAcentral.
UCUAGCAGCCAUAUCCCCCUGCAGCCCAAGACUAGUUGCCCACUGAAGCUAAGCAUGGUUGAGUCUGGUCAGUACCUGGAUGGGAGACCUCCUGAGAAAACUAGGUUGCUGCUGGAA